This 1427-nucleotide ribosomal RNA is filed under the name Hylarana chalconota (copper-cheeked frog). RNAcentral describes it as "partial 16S ribosomal RNA". It matches the Rfam family "Bacterial large subunit ribosomal RNA", at positions 365 to 2565 of the family's 2925-position model. Lineage: Eukaryota; Metazoa; Chordata; Amphibia; Anura; Ranidae. The record is from RNAcentral.
CUAAAGCCCCUCGCUUACACCGAGACACCAUCUGUUUGAACCAGAUCAUUUUGAGCUCACAAUCUAGCCCACCCCUCACCCCCCCCCAACACUUUUACCCUGCAAUUCUUAAAUAAACCAUUCUAAUGGCUUAAUACAGGAGAUCGAAAAAUCCCUUAGGCGCCUCAAAUAAAGUACCGCAAGGGAAUGAUGAAAUAUUAAUGAAAUAGCCUUAAGCAAAAAAUAGCAAAAAUUCCCCCUCGUACCUUUUGUAUCAUGGCCUAACCAGUCCAAACAGGCAAAAAAAAACUUUAACUUGACUCCCCGAAACUAAAUGAGCUACUUCAAAAUAGUCCUAGGACCAACCCGUCUCUGUUGCAAAAGAGUGGGAAAAUUUUUAAGUAAAGGUGACAUGCCUAUCGAGUUUAAAGAUAGCUGGUUGUUCAGGAAAAGAGUUUAAGCUCUACCUUAAGUUUUUCUAUUAAUUUGAUAAUUCUCUUAAACUUAAGAGCUAUUCAAAUAAGGCACAGCUUAUUUGAAACAGGAUACAACCUUACAUAUAGGGUAAGUAAAAAAACAAUAAAAAUAAAGUAGGCCUAAAAGCAGCCAUCUUUAAGAAAGCGUCAUAGCUCCACCACACUUAAUCCACAAUUACCUCAAUCUCCCCUAACCCUUUACCCCUACUGAACCACUUUAUAUUAUUAUAAAAGCCACUAUGCUAGGACCAGUAACAAGAACUUACUUUUCUCCUUAAUAUAAAUAUAAGCCAAAACGGAUAACCCAUUGGUAAUUAACGUUUAUGAACCCCUUAUAACAACUCCAACUAGAAAACCUUAUAUCUACAAACGUUAACCUUACACUAGAAUAUUAAAGGAAAGAUUAAAAGAAAGAGAAGGAACUCGGCAAAUUUUAACCCCGCCUGUUUACCAAAAACAUCGCCUCUUGAUAAACAUAAGAGGUCCAGCCUGCCCAGUGACAAUGUUCAACGGCCGCGGUACCCUAACCGUGCAAAGGUAGCAUAAUCACUUGUUCUUUAAAUGAGGACUUGUAUCAACGGCACCACGAGGGUUGCACUGUCUCCUCUUUCCAAUCAGUGAAACUGAUCUCCCCGUGAAGAAGCUGGGAUUUUAGUAUAAGACGAGAAGACCCCAUGGAGCUUUAAAUUAUGUGCCUAUUUUGUAACAACACCAAGAAACUAAAAAGUUUAGGCACCCUUUUAGGUUGGGGCGACCACGGAGUACAACUAAACCUCCACAACAAACAGGCCACACCUUUACCCACGAGCUACACCUCUAAGAAUUAACAUAUUAAUGUUUAUGACCCGAUAUUCGAUCAAUGAACCAAGUUACCCUGGGGAUAACAGCGCAAUCCAUUUCAAGAGUUCUUAUCGACAAAUGGGUUUACGACCUCGAUGUUGGAUCAGGGUACCCCAGUGGUGCAGCCGCUAC